GAUGAACGCUGGCGGCGUGCCUAAUACAUGCAAGUCGAGCGAACGGACGAGAAGCUUGCUUCUCUGAUGUUAGCGGCGGACGGGUGAGUAACACGUGGAUAACCUACCUAUAAGACUGGGAUAACUUCGUGAAACCGGAGCUAAUACCGGAUGAUAUUUUGAACCGCAUGGUUCAAAAGUGAAAGACGGUCUUGCUGUCACUUAUAGAUGGAUCCGCGCUGCAUUAGCUAGUUGGUAAGGUAACGGCUUACCAAGGCAACGAUGCAUAGCCGACCUGAGAGGGUGAUCGGCCACACUGGAACUGAGACACGGUCCAGACUCCUACGGGAGGCAGCAGUAGGGAAUCUUCCGCAAUGGGCGAAAGCCUGACGGAGCAACGCCGCGUGAGUGAUGAAGGUCUUCGGAUCGUAAAACUCUGUUAUUAGGGAAGAACAUAUGUGUAAGUAACUGUGCACAUCUUGACGGUACCUAAUCAGAAAGCCACGGCUAACUACGUG
RNAcentral lists this ribosomal RNA (497 nucleotides) under uncultured bacterium. RNAcentral's name for it is "partial 16S ribosomal RNA". It matches the Rfam family "Bacterial small subunit ribosomal RNA", at positions 28 to 507 of the family's 1533-position model. The record is from RNAcentral.